Molecule: ribosomal RNA, 387 nt
Filed under: uncultured soil bacterium
Lineage: Bacteria
Description: bacterial SSU rRNA
Rfam family: Bacterial small subunit ribosomal RNA
Source: RNAcentral
AGAUUGAACGCUGGCGGCAUGCCUUACACAUGCAAGUCGAACGGCAGCACGGGAGCAAUCCUGGUGGCGAGUGGCGGACGGGUGAGUAAUAUAUCGGAGCGUGCCCAGUCGUGGGGGAUAACGUAGAGAAAUUUACGCUAAUACCGCAUACGAUCCAAGGAUGAAAGCGGGGGACCUAAGGCCUCGCGCGACUGGAGCGGCUGAUAUCAGAUUAGCUUGUUGGUGAGGUAAAAGCUCACCAAGGCGACGAUCUGUAGCUGGUUUGAGAGAACGACCAGCCACACUGGGACUGAGACACGGCCAGACGUCCUACGGGAGGCAGCAGGUGGGGUAAUUUUUGGACAAGUGGGACGAAAGCCUAGAUACCGAGCAAAGUCGGACCGGCGU